Molecule: ribosomal RNA, 253 nt
Filed under: uncultured bacterium
Lineage: Bacteria
Description: partial 16S ribosomal RNA
Rfam family: Bacterial small subunit ribosomal RNA
Source: RNAcentral
UACGAAGGGGGCUAGCGUUGUUCGGAAUCACUGGGCGUAAAGGGCGCGUAGGCGGCCGCUCAAGUCGGGGGUGAAAGCCUGUGGCUUAACCACAGAAUUGCCUUCGAUACUGUUUGGCUUGAGACCGGAAGAGGUGAGUGGAACUGCGAGUGUAGAGGUGAAAUUCGUAGAUGUUCGCAAGAACACCAGUGGCGAAGGCGGCUCACUGGUCCGGUUCUGACGCUGAGGCGCGAAAGCGUGGGGAGCAAACAGG